This 485-nucleotide ribosomal RNA is filed under the name uncultured Alphaproteobacteria bacterium. Its description in RNAcentral is "bacterial SSU rRNA". It matches the Rfam family "Bacterial small subunit ribosomal RNA", at positions 125 to 644 of the family's 1533-position model. Lineage: Bacteria; Pseudomonadati; Pseudomonadota; Alphaproteobacteria. The record is from RNAcentral.
UCUACCCUUAGGUACGGAAUAACUCAGGGAAACUUGUGCUAAUACCGUAUAAUGUCUUCGGACCAAAGAUUUAUCGCCUUUGGAUGAGCCCGCGUUGGAUUAGCUUGUUGGUGGGGUAAUGGCCUACCAAGGCGACGAUCCAUAGCUGGUCUGAGAGGAUGAUCAGCCACACUGGGACUGAGACACGGCCCAGACUCCUACGGGAGGCAGCAGUGGGGAAUAUUGGACAAUGGGCGAAAGCCUGAUCCAGCAAUGCCGCGUGAGUGAUGAAGGCCUUAGGGUUGUAAAGCUCUUUUACCCGGGAUGAUAAUGACAGUACCGGGAGAAUAAGCUCCGGCUAACUCCGUGCCAGCAGCCGCGGUAAUACGGAGGGAGCUAGCGUUGUUCGGAAUUACUGGGCGUAAAGCGCGCGUAGGCGGCUUGCCAAGUCAGAGGUGAAAUCCCGGGGCUCAACCCCGGAACUGCCUUUGAAACUAGCAGGCUAG